RNAcentral lists this microRNA (24 nucleotides) under Triops cancriformis. RNAcentral describes it as "tcf-miR-10331". Lineage: Eukaryota; Metazoa; Arthropoda; Branchiopoda; Notostraca; Triopsidae. The record is from miRBase by way of RNAcentral.
CCCCGUGGAAGUCUGGAUAUUUUA